GAUGAACGCUGGCGGCGUGCCUAAUACAUGCAAGUCGAGCGAACAGACGAUGAUCUUGCUCCUCUGACGUUAGCGGCGGACGGGUGAGUAACACGUGGAUAACCUACCUAUAAGACUUGGAUAACUUCGGGAAACCGGAGCUAAUACCGGAUAAUAUAUUGAACCGCAUGGUUCAAUAGUGAAUGAUGGUUUUGCUGUCACUUAUAGAUGGAUCCGCGCCGCAUUAGCUAGUUGGUAAGGUAACGGCUUACCAAGGCAACGAUGCGUAGCCGACCUGAGAGGGUGAACGGCCACACUGGAACUGAGACACGGUCCAGACUCCUACGGGAGGCAGCAGUAGGGAAUCUUCCGCGAUGGGCGAAAGCCUGACGGAGCAACGCCGCGUGAGUGAUGAAGGUCUUCGGAUCGUAAAACUCUGUUAUUAGGGAAGAACAAAUGUGUAAGUAACUAUGCACGUCUUGACGGUACCUAAUCAGAAAGCCACGGCUAACUACGUG
Molecule: ribosomal RNA, 497 nt
Filed under: uncultured bacterium
Lineage: Bacteria
Description: partial 16S ribosomal RNA
Rfam family: Bacterial small subunit ribosomal RNA
Source: RNAcentral